GACGAACGCUGGCGGCGUGCCUAACACAUGCAAGUCGAGCGAGAGCCGGAUGUCAGCUUUAAAAGGUUGGCAUUAGGUGAAAGCGGCGAACGGGUGAGUAACGCGUGGGCAACCUACCCUGUACAGCGGGAUAACAUUGGGAAACCGGUGCUAAUACCGCAUGAAGCAUACGAGUGGCAUCGCUUGUAUGUUAAAGGGGGAACCCGGUACGGGAUGGGCCCGCGUCCAAUUAGCUAGUUGGUGAGGUAACGGCUCACCAAGGCGACGAUUGGUAGCCGAGCUGAGAGGUUGGUCGGCCACAUUGGGACUGAGACACGGCCCAGACUCCUACGGGAGGCAGCAGUAGGGAAUUUUGGACAAUGGGCGAAAGCCUGAUCCAGCCAUGCCGCGUGCAGGAUGAAGGCCUUCGGGUUGUAAACUGCUUUUGUACGGAACGAAAAGACUCUGGUUAAUACCUGGGGUCCAUGACGGUACCGUAAGAAUAAGCACCGGCUAACUACGUG
This 503-nucleotide ribosomal RNA is filed under the name uncultured bacterium. RNAcentral's name for it is "bacterial SSU rRNA". It matches the Rfam family "Bacterial small subunit ribosomal RNA", at positions 28 to 507 of the family's 1533-position model. The record is from RNAcentral.